RNAcentral lists this ribosomal RNA (317 nucleotides) under uncultured bacterium. RNAcentral describes it as "bacterial SSU rRNA". It matches the Rfam family "Bacterial small subunit ribosomal RNA", at positions 8 to 307 of the family's 1533-position model. The record is from RNAcentral.
AGAGUUUGAUCAUGGCUCAGGAUGAACGCUGGCGGCGUGCCUAACACAUGCAAGUCGAGCGAAGCACUUUACUUUGAUUCUUCGGAUGAAGAGUUUUGUGACUGAGCGGCGGACGGGUGAGUAACGCGUGGGUAACCUGCCUCAUACAGGGGGAUAACAGUUAGAAAUGACUGCUAAUACCGCAUAAGACCACAGCACCGCAUGGUGCAGGGGUAAAAACUCCUGUGGUAUGAGAUGGACCCACGUCUGAUUAGCUAGUUGGUAAGGUAACGGCUUACCAAGGCAACGAUCAGUAGCCGACCUGAGAGGGUGACCGG